This 86-nucleotide ribosomal RNA is filed under the name Ctenophora environmental sample. RNAcentral describes it as "partial Trypanosomatid mitochondrial large subunit ribosomal RNA". Lineage: Eukaryota; Metazoa; Ctenophora. The record is from RNAcentral.
AAAAUAACAAAAAGAAACAAAAAACAAAAAAACAUCUAAAAAAAAAAAAAAAAAGAAAGAAAGAAAACAUGGCUGUUCCUACUUCC